UGAGGAAUAUUGGUCAAUGGGCGCAAGCCUGAACCAGCCAUCCCGCGUGCAGGAAGACGGCGCUAUGCGUUGUAAACUGCUUUUCCAGGGAGAGAAACUUGCGCACGUGUUGCGCAAUUGACGGUACCCUGGGAAUAAGCAUCGGCUAACUCCGUGCCAGCAGCCGCGGUAAUACGGAGGAUGCGAGCGUUAUCCGGAUUCAUUGGGUCUAAAGGGUGCGUAGGCGGACUAUUAAGUCAGUGGUGAAAUCCUGCAGCUUAACUGCAGAACUGCCAUUGAUACUGAUAGCCUUGAGUUUGGUUAAGGUAGGCGGAAUAUGUAAUGUAGCGGUGAAAUGCUUAGAUAUUACACAGAACACCAAUUGCGUAGGCAGCUUACUGAGCCGACACUGACGCUGAGGCACGAAAGCGUGGGGAGCGAACAG
RNAcentral lists this ribosomal RNA (424 nucleotides) under uncultured bacterium. RNAcentral's name for it is "bacterial SSU rRNA". It matches the Rfam family "Bacterial small subunit ribosomal RNA", at positions 355 to 775 of the family's 1533-position model. The record is from RNAcentral.